RNAcentral lists this ribosomal RNA (193 nucleotides) under Escherichia coli. RNAcentral's name for it is "partial 23S ribosomal RNA". It matches the Rfam family "Bacterial large subunit ribosomal RNA", at positions 2756 to 2925 of the family's 2925-position model. The record is from RNAcentral. Lineage: Bacteria; Pseudomonadati; Pseudomonadota; Gammaproteobacteria; Enterobacterales; Enterobacteriaceae.
CGGAAGAGAUAAGUGCUGAAAGCAUCUAAGCACGAAACUUGCCCCGAGAUGAGUUCUCCCUGACUCCUUGAGAGUCCUGAAGGAACGUUGAAGACGACGACGUUGAUAGGCCGGGUGUGUAAGCGCAGCGAUGCGUUGAGCUAACCGGUACUAAUGAACCGUGAGGCUUAACCUUACAACGCCGAAGGUGUUU